RNAcentral lists this ribosomal RNA (260 nucleotides) under uncultured bacterium. Its description in RNAcentral is "partial 16S ribosomal RNA". It matches the Rfam family "Bacterial small subunit ribosomal RNA", at positions 94 to 354 of the family's 1533-position model. The record is from RNAcentral.
AGUGGCGGACGGGUGAGUAACGCGUGGGCAACCUACCCCACACAGGGGGACAACAGUUGGAAACGACUGCUAAUACCGCAUAGGCGCACAGCUUCGCAUGAAGCAGUGUGGAAAACCGAGGUGGUGUGGGAUGGGCCCGCGUCUGAUUAGCUAGUUGGCGGGGUAACGGCCCACCAAGGCGACGAUCAGUAGCCGGCCUGAGAGGGUGGACGGCCACAUUGGGACUGAGACACGGCCCAAACUCCUACGGGAGGCAGCAG